UCCGUAGACAACGCGGGCGCGUGCUUAAUACAUGCAAGUCGAGCGGACAGAUGGGAGCUUGCUCCCUGAUGUCAGCGGCGGACGGGUGAGUAACACGUGCGUAACCUGCCUGUAAGACUGGGAUAACUCCGGGAAACCGGGGCUAAUACCGGAUGCUUGAUUGAACCGCAUGGUUCAAUUAUAAAAGGUGGCUUUUAGCUACCACUUACAGAUGGACCCGCGGCGCAUUAGCUAGUUGGUGAGGUAACGGCUCACCAAGGCAACGAUGCGUAGCCGACCUGAGAGGGUGAUCGGCCACACUGGGACUGAGACACGGCCCAGACUCCUACGGGAGGCAGCAGUAGGGAAUCUUCCGCAAUGGACGAAAGUCUGACGGAGCAACGCCGCGUGAGUGAUGAAGGUUUUCGGAUCGUAAAACUCUGUUGUUAGGGAAGAACAAGUACCGUUCGAAUAGGGCGGUACCUUGACGGUACCUAACCAGAAAGCCACGGCUAACUACGUGCCAGCAGCCGCGGUAAUACGUAGGUGGCAAGCGUUGUCCGGAAUUAUUGGGCGUAAAGCGCGCGCAGGCGGUUUCUUAAGUCUGAUGUGAAAGCCCCCGGCUCAACCGGGGAGGGUCAUUGGAAACUGGGGAACUUGAGUGCAGAAGAGGAGAGUGGAAUUCCACGUGUAGCGGUGAAAUGCGUAGAGAUGUGGAGGAACACCAGUGGCGAAGGCGACUCUCUGGUCUGUAACUGACGCUGAGGCGCGAAAGCGUGGGGAGCGAACAGGAUUAGAUACCCUGGUAGUCCACGCCGUAAACGAUGAGUGCUAAGUGUUAGAGGGUUUCCGCCCUUUAGUGCUGCAGCAAACGCAUUAAGCACUCCGCCUGGGGAGUACGGUCGCAAGACUGAAACUCAAAGGAAUUGACGGGGGCCCGCACAAGCGGUGGAGCAUGUGGUUUAAUUCGAAGCAACGCGAAGAACCUUACCAGGUCUUGACAUCCUCUGACAACCCUAGAGAUAGGGCUUCCCCUUCGGGGGCAGAGUGACAGGUGGUGCAUGGUGUCGUCAGCUCG
This 1057-nucleotide ribosomal RNA is filed under the name Bacillus licheniformis. RNAcentral describes it as "bacterial SSU rRNA". It matches the Rfam family "Bacterial small subunit ribosomal RNA", at positions 22 to 1062 of the family's 1533-position model. Lineage: Bacteria; Bacillati; Bacillota; Bacilli; Caryophanales; Bacillaceae. The record is from RNAcentral.